CCGAGUGUAGCUCAGCUGGUAGAGCGAUUGACUGUAGUGUUCUAUACUGUGUUUCAGUAUUCUCGGAAAUCAAUUGGUCGCUGGUUCGAUUCCGACCACUCGGA
Molecule: transfer RNA, 104 nt
Filed under: Phytophthora infestans (potato late blight agent)
Lineage: Eukaryota; Oomycota; Peronosporomycetes; Peronosporales; Peronosporaceae
Description: tRNA-Tyr
Rfam family: tRNA
About the family: Transfer RNA (tRNA) molecules are approximately 80 nucleotides in length. Their secondary structure includes four short double-helical elements and three loops (D, anti-codon, and T loops).
Source: RNAcentral